AUUUUCAGUUGUCCCUGUUCUCUCCAGAUCUCUGGUCAUGCUAAAUUACUCUUCCCAUGCUUACCUUCCAUGGCUAGUAAUCAAUAGAACAGGUAAGUAAAGUAAGUCGCCGCUUCGUGUCCCCAUACACAGUGAGGUGUUGUGAAAUGCAUGUUUUGUAAUGGAGAUGGAUCUACAGUGUAACAUAUGAUUCUAUUAGCGUUUGCCUAGAUCAUGCAUAGUAGCAUUAAGAAAUUCACUACUUAUCUAUGAAUUAUAUAUGA
RNAcentral lists this unclassified non-coding RNA (263 nucleotides) under Hevea brasiliensis (rubber tree). The record is from RNAcentral. Lineage: Eukaryota; Viridiplantae; Streptophyta; Magnoliopsida; Malpighiales; Euphorbiaceae.